This 5342-nucleotide long non-coding RNA is filed under the name Podarcis lilfordi (Lilford's wall lizard). Lineage: Eukaryota; Metazoa; Chordata; Lepidosauria; Squamata; Lacertidae. The record is from RNAcentral.
GGUCCAAGAUGCACAUGAAGCUAUGGCACUUUUAAUUUGUCUUGCCUGGGCAUGAGGCAAUGAUCCUCUGAAGGUGUGUGGCGCUAGGAAGGUGGACUGCUGCAACCCAUCUCCCCAAAUGCUUCUAAAUGCAUUUGUCGCCUUCAUGUUAUAUAAAGUUCUCUUGCUAGAAAUCCUUGAGACAACAUUGUUCAAGGCCACUCAGUUGUGGAAACCAACGACUUCAAAGUUCUGCUCUCAAGUGCAACAUGGCUGUUCUCAAUACACACUCUGCACUGAACCAUUGCCCCAGGAAGCUGCUGCUAUUAUUCACUUCACAAUGCAAGUCCAAAGCACCAGAAGGCUUGAUCUACAAGAUAUAUUAACUGCUUUACAAACACCACUUGCAUUGGAGACGGUGGGCAUCCCAAAGAGGCACGGGGGCCAUUUAUCAUGCAACCCUCCCCCUCACAAAGUUAGAUAUUCCUUCCCCCCACUAUCCCUGCCACCUUCCUCUCACCCAGAUACCUUCCUUUGGAAAGCAAAUAAACUAAACUUUGCUUAUGAUGAUAAUUGCACGAAGAAACAUCUUCUUGUAACAGCUAUUUUGCCCCUCUCGUAUCCAAUUACUAUGCUUACCCAAAAGCUGUCAUCUCUUAUACAUCCAGCGUAAUUAAUAGCUUAUGGACCAACUCAAUGCCAUGGAAAAUAAUUACUGGUAAAGUGAGAAAGUAGUCUUUUAAACAAAUGCAGCAGUCAGGCACUCCUAACACUACACGUACAGUUUUGCCUUGAUCCCAAGCAGCCCUCUAACGGCAAUGUGGACUAAUUUGUCUGCCCGUUUAGAGAUUAAGAAGGGAUUGAGUGCUUUCUCAAUAGAGACUGUGAGGGGCAGAUGCUAUAAUUAGCCAGAUCACAUUUCUUUAUUCUAUUCAUUAAAAACAAAAAAAGCUCGCAAGACAAUAUAUCAUGUAUUAAUUUUAAAUUGUAACUAUGCAGGUCAUUUUAUAAUGUAGUGGUAAUUACAUAUAUCCAGUCUAAGCAGGCAAAAGAAAUGUCCUUGAUGUUGUUUCUGAUUCCAACAGAGGUUAAGGAUAUGCCUUUUCUACAAAUAUGCAUUAGUUUUAUGCUAGUUCUGCUGUCCUCACUCUUCCACUGGGGGCAGGUAGAGGGGUGAGUCCGCUACAGAUGCCAACUAAGCAAACCAAAACACCCAUAUCUACUUUAUAGGUAUUUUCGGAAAUGGUUUCUCUUGUCUAUUUAUUCUAUAUAUUGUGGGUUCAGCUGCCUCUUGAUAUAUCAUUGCCAAACUCAGCAUGAGGUUUCCCAAGGUGUGUGGGGGGGGGGGGCAGUCCUCAUCUACUUUUGGACACCAACAGUCAUUUUGAAUCAAGAGGACAGGCUGAAAUGUGACCUUGGCUUGACUUCACCUGUUUUUGACAUAGGUUCCAGCACCUCUUGAGACAUCGUUGCCAAAUGGCAGAAUGAUUACUGUGCUGGGGGCAGUGGUUUUUGUUGACUUUUGGACGCCAACCCCUAGGUACAAGUCUUACCCCUCACCAGACAGCCCUCGUUCAUUAGUUAUUUGGACCGUGUUAGUGUAUACAGGUUCAAACCAUGUUAUUUUGAGAAGAGGGUGAAACCAGCCAUACGUCAGCAACCAUACAUUUAGGAAUGAAACUAGCAUGCCACACAAAAAGGUCCACACAAUUUAAUUACUAAACUUUGGAUACAACUGCUUUAAAAAGACACAGAGCCAGGUCUGGAGAAUAGCCAAAAUUUAAUGAUGGAAGGAUCAGAACCCCCAAACAGGAAAAAAACAACACCCUAGGAUUUGUGGCACAAAAUAUAACUUCAUAGCAAGGCUGGAUCUGCUCCCAAACUUUGAAAGUUUGUGCUUUACUUGAGGUUAAAUCUGAAGCAAGAUAAUGGUGUGUCUUCCUUGUGGGGAUUGGUUUUCACUGCCCUUCCCUAUAUGGUCACAGGGCAGUGUUAUGCACAUUAAAACUCAUUAUUAUUACAUUAUUGUUGUAAUUUCUUAGCCGUCCUUCACCCUAAGGUUCUAGGGCGGGUUACAACAUUAAAAUACAACAUUAAAAGCAGUUUAAAACAACUUGCAAUCACAAAAAUAAGGUGGGUCCUAAAAAUAUCUCAUCAAAGGUAAAGAGCUGUGUCUUCAGCAUCCUCUGGAAGUUGUAUAAGGAAGGGACUUCUAUGUGGAAGGACUUUUACAGCUUUGGGACUGGCACAGAGAAUGCCCUCUUCCAGACUGCUGUCACCCCCUGAGCCUCUGAGGGAGGAUGAACUACCCAGAGGGCAGCCUCUGCCAAAGUCAGUAUCUGAGGGGGAAGGAGGUGACUUUUCAGAUAUUUGGGACCUGUGGUGUCCAAAUGUCAGUUGGAUUUCAGUGUGUGUGUCUCUGCCCAAGACGGUUGGGGAUACUGGGGAAUGAUUCCAAAGUUGGAGAAGUAAGGAAAUAGAUUCUUUUGCAGAGUUAAUGUGACAGGGAAGUAAGUGGCUUGCCCUGUACUGAACAAGAACUUCCAAGGUUGCAACGAGUGCUUACAUGCUUAUCAUUUCCCUUGUCUAAUCGCUUAAUUACCUUGGUCUCAUUUGAUCUCAUUUUGAAGGUGACUAAGUAUAGCAGCAGCAGCAGCAGCAGCAGCAGCAGCAGCAAGGCAGGAACUUUCACUGCCUCAUUUGAAGGUGGAGAAUGAGGGCUUUGGGGGCUCAUUAUGGGGACCUGCUUCUGCAGCUGCAUAAGCCGGGAGGACAUCGCUGGUAUGGUAUGGGAACCAUAAUGUUAAACUGAGUUCUCCAGCCCCUUCUGAAUCCUGUGGCUUUUCUGGGCUUUUGUGAAAUUGCAGACGGUACCCACCUCAACCCCUGACGAUUGCCAGGGUGCUUCCGUUACAUAUUGAGGAUGUUUGGCGUCAAACAGCCAAUAUUUUGAGGGACUGAAUAUCACUCUCUAUUCCUUUCCCCACUUUUCUCCUGCAUACAUCUGUAUGGUGGAUUCAUUUCCCGUUUUGUCUCUGCUUCCUGAGCAUCCCUUUUCACAGCCCCCCACCAGAAAUCUUCCAGAGGGCUGAGGUGGGUGGGAGGGAAAUAAAUCACGUCCCGUAUAUUCCCAGGGCAAUUUCAACUUUAAAAAAGGAUAUCAACAUGAAGGACAAUUGCAGUGUUGAGCUGUCAUCUCGUCCCCACAGGUACCAUGAAAAAUUACUGCCAAUAAAAUAACAUUUUUCAAAAUGUGACACUACCCUUAAAUUUAUCUUCCACAAUAAAUGGGUUCUGGGAGAAAAUUUCAGUCCUUUUGAGCAUAAACUAUUCUUCAAGCACUCAAUAAUAGAUUACAAAUGAAUUGCAUUAUUAAUUUAUAAUAGAAUAAUUGUUUUGCUUCAACAGUCACUUUCAAGAAUUCGGGCAGUAAUUUUCUUUGCUUCUUUAUCAUCUUAAAGAUAUUUUCCCCACAGGAAAGAAAAAAGAAAUGAAAGAGAAUGAGAAGGGGGGUGGGAAAGUUGUAGAUGGGUUCAAGUCAACAAAAGACCGAGACUUUCAUUCCAAAGGCCAAUUGGAACAAAAGCCUUAACUUGGAUUAUUGUCUCCAAAGGUUGCUUGCCAUGUUCAUUACAGCCGCCGUUUGGCCCUUUCUGUGAUGCGAUCACUGAGCUGCUCACUCAGAGUACAGGGAAGAAUGAGAAGCAGUUCUUGAGAAGCAUGAAUUAAGAGCAUGAGGAGAGCCCUGCUGGAUCAGACCAAAGGCCCAUCAAGUUCAGCAUCCUGUUCUAACCAGAUGCUUAUAGGAAGCCUGCAAGCAGGACCUGAGCACAACAGCCCUUCUCCCCCCCCCCACUUGUGAACCCCAGUGACUGGCAUUCAGAGGCUUACUGCCUUAGACAAUGGAGAACAUAGCCAUCAUGGCUAGUAGCUAUUGAUAGCCAUCUCCUUCGGGAAUUUGGCCAUUGCUAUAUCUUAUAGUAUCAAAUUCCAUGCUUUAUCUAUGUUUUGUGUGUGUGUUUUAUUUGGUCUGUCCUGAACCUUUCAACAUUCCACUUCAUGGGAUGUUCUAAUAUUAUGAGACAACAAUGAUAUGAGAGCACUGGGCUGAACAUUUUCACUUCUGGGUUUUUUAUUUCUCCUCCUAUUUUUUCUCUAGAUUUUGUCAUUCCAAAUCACUCUAUCUUGUUUCUGAAGCUGAACUGAUUGUGCAUAAGGAACUAUCCACUGGUUGGUUUAAUUAUUAUUAAUACUGUUAUUACUAUUAUUACUAUUAUUGUUAAUAUUAUUAAUAUCAUCAUCAUCAUAAUUGUUGUUGUUUAUUUGCACCUUGCCCAUCUGACUGGGUUGCCGCAGCCACUCUGGGUGGCUUCCAGCAUAUAUAAAAACAUAAUAAAACAUUAAACUUUAAAAAGCUUCCCUAUACAGCGGUCAUUACCUUUCUGCUUGCUGAAGUUCCUGAGUUUUCAAUCCCAGGCUGGGUUGGGAAAGACUCUUGCCUGAUACACUAGAGAGCUGCGAGCAGUCUCUAGAUGUUUAAAUGGACCAAUGGUCUGACUUAUAAGACUUAUAAGACAGUUUCUUGGCUCCUAAUGUGCUGCAAUUUUCAGCCCUCUUAUUUCUCUCUCACAUUCCAUUCUGUAUGUGCAUGUGUUUCACCAGUUGAGGUCUACUUUGGUUAUAGCCUUUUCUACCUCUCUGCCUUUGUUGUCAUUUUCUGGGCAAAUGGUUUGUUGCACCAGAGUCAUUGUCACAUCAGGUUUUUUAAAGAACUGUACUCAGAUGCAGGCUUUGUUUUCUUCCUGUCUUCCUGCUGAACCAAUCCUGUUGUUUCUGUUGAAAGUCAACGAGGCACAGAAAUUGCUACAAAGGAGUCGGCUGAAGAAACCCUGUAAACAUUAUGGCAGCAUGAGAAAGACUUGUUUAGUUUAUUUCCGCAGGCUUUGAAGAUGCUGCAAAGCCCAAAUUUAAGGUGAUAUAAAUACAGAUGUGAAGAGAGAGAAAAGUAUUUGGGGGCAGGGCUUUGGGAUGGUUAUGGCCGUUUUAGCUAGAUUCUGUAGAUACGUUAUUCUGUGUUGGAUUUUGAAGGACUGUAGAUCUUUAUUGCCGCCAGUUGAGAUUGAGCAGAACUCCAGCUUUUCUGAGAGAAAAUUUGACAAAACCUAAGGAGACAUGAGGAUGCUUGCUAAGGGCUGAUCCAUGUGUAGAUUUCACAACCAUUUUGCUUAAAGCAGGAGGGGAAGGACUUUUUGUGCUCCAGAUGCUGUGGGCAGAGCUGGAUUAAGACCUUUGGAGUUCCUAAGCACUUAAAAGAUUUUGGUGCUCCCAUAUAUCUAAUAAAAAUAUCAACAAUAAUAAACUGU